This 134-nucleotide transfer-messenger RNA is filed under the name Verrucomicrobiia bacterium. RNAcentral describes it as "partial transfer-messenger RNA". It matches the Rfam family "transfer-messenger RNA", at positions 1 to 142 of the family's 374-position model. Rfam says of the family: Bacterial tmRNA, also known as 10Sa RNA or SsrA, is named for its dual tRNA and mRNA-like properties. Lineage: Bacteria; Pseudomonadati; Verrucomicrobiota; Verrucomicrobiia. The record is from RNAcentral.
GGGGGCGUCACGGUUUCGACGGGAUCGAUUGCGGCCUAGGAGGCAUGUCAGGGUGUGGGCACCUGUAAUCGCCUGCAAAAACAAAGUUGCCAACGAUAAUCUGGCACUUGCAGCUUAAUUAAAUAAGCUGCCGU